Molecule: ribosomal RNA, 468 nt
Filed under: uncultured bacterium
Lineage: Bacteria
Description: partial 16S ribosomal RNA
Rfam family: Bacterial small subunit ribosomal RNA
Source: RNAcentral
GACGAACGCUGGCGGCGUGCUUAACACAUGCAAGUCGAACGGAAAGGCCCUGCUUUUGUGGGGUGCUCGAGUGGCGAACGGGGGAGUAACACGUGAGUAACCUGCCCUUGACUUUGGGAUAACUUCAGGAAACUGGGGCUAAUACCGGAUAGGAGCUCCUGCUGCAUGGUGGGGGUUGGAAAGUUUCGGCGGUUGGGGAUGGACUCGCGGCUUAUCAGCUUGUUGGUGGGGUAGUGGCUUACCAAGGCUUUGACGGGUAGCCGGCCUGAGAGGGUGACCGGCCACAUUGGGACUGAGAUACGGCCCAGACUCCUACGGGAGGCAGCAGUGGGGAAUAUUGCACAAUGGGCGGAAGCCUGAUGCAGCAACGCCGCGUGCGGGAUGCCGGCCUUCGGGUUGUAAACCGCUUUCGCCUGUGACGAAGCGUGAGUGACGGUAAUGGGUAAAGAAGCACCGGCUAACUACGUG